Molecule: small nuclear RNA, 22 nt
Filed under: Arabidopsis thaliana (thale cress)
Lineage: Eukaryota; Viridiplantae; Streptophyta; Magnoliopsida; Brassicales; Brassicaceae
Description: snRNA_04893
Source: RNAcentral
UGUAUCAAGAAUAUAUUAUUCU